GACGAAGGUCAGACCAGCGGAGGGACCUUAGGAGCACUGUGUCUGGGAAAGGGCGGGGCUUACGGCAGGCGGAGCCAAAUGCCCCGCCCACUUUGAUAGGACGAGCCAUUUCCGUCCGCGGAGAAACAGAGGCAGCAGCCGGCCGAGUUGCGAGCAGAGCGCCUCCGGCAGGCCCUCCCUGGUCGGAAGCGGCGAGUGAGCCAAGCGGCGGGCAAGGGCCGGCUCCCAGGAUGGCCAGGGUGGAGGCCCAGGGCCGCCUGUGGCUGGAGAGCCCCCCUGGGGGAGCGCCUCCCAUCUUCCUGCCCUUGGGUGGGCAAGCCCUGGUGCUGGGCCGAGGACCCUUGACGCAGGUUACCGACCGGAAGUGCUCCAGAAACCAAGUGGAGCUGGUCGCUGACCCUGAGACUCGGACGGUGGCAGUGAAACAGCUGGGAGUUAACCCCUCAACUGCCGGGACUCAGGAGCUGAGAACAGGGUUGGAGGGUUCUCUGGGGGUGGGGGACACGCUGUAUUUGGUCAAUGGCCUCCACCCGCUGACCCUGCGCUGGGAAGAGGCUCACACGCCAGAAUCCCAGCCAGACACUCCACCAGGCACCCCUCCUGUGGCCCCGGAGGAGGAGGAGGAGGAGGAGGAGGAUGAACAGCAGAAAAAGCGGAUAAGGAAGUCAUCCCCUGGCUGGGAGAGCUUCCAGAAGCUGCUAGUGUUCACGGCACCUGGUGUGAAGCCCCGGGGCAAGGUGGCCGGUUUUGAUCUGGAUGGGACCCUCAUCACCACACGUUCUGGGAAGGUCUUUCCCACUGGCCCCAGUGACUGGAGGAUCUUGUACCGAGAGAUUCCACAGAAGCUCCGGGAACUGGCUGCCGAGGGUUACAAGCUGGUGAUCUUCACCAACCAGAUGGGCAUUGGACGCGGGAAGCUGCCAGCGGAGUUGUUCAAGGCCAAGGUGGAGGCUGUGGUGGAGAAGCUGGGGGUCCCCUUUCAGGUCUUGGUGGCCACGGACGCAGGCUUGUACCGGAAGCCGGUGAUCGGCAUGUGGGACCACCUGCAGGGGCAGGCCAACGAGGGCGUGCCCAUCUCCAUCGGGGACAGCGUCUUUGUGGGAGAUGCAGCUGGACGCCCAGCCAACUGGGCCCCUGGGCGCAAGAAGAAAGACUUCUCUUGCGCUGACCGCCUGUUUGCCCUCAACCUGGGCCUGCCUUUCGCCACGCCAGAGGAGUUCUUUCUGAAAUGGCCCAUGGCCCGCUUCGAGCUCCCAGCCUUUGACCCGAGGACCGUCUCCUGCUCUGGGCCUCUCUGCCUCCCCGAGUCCAGCUCCCUCUUAAGCUCAGACCCCGAGGUGGUUGUCGCCGUGGGAUUUCCUGGGGCUGGGAAGUCCACCUUCCUCCAGGAGCAUCUCGUGUCGGCCGGAUACGUCCACGUGAACAGGGACACUCUGGGCUCAUGGCAGCGCUGCGUGACCACGUGCGAGGCGGCCCUGAAGCAAAGGAAACGGGUCGUGAUUGACAACACGAACCCGGACAUCCAGAGCCGAGCCAGGUACCGGGGUCCCAGGGGCGGCCUCUGUAGGGUGGGCCCCGGGCCCUUUGCCAGCCCCCCACUUCCCCGGCCCCCACAGGUACGUCAAGUGUGCCCGAGACGCAGGCGUCCCCUGCCGCUGCUUCCUCUUCAGCACCACCCUGGAGCAGGCACGCCACAACAACCGGUUCCGGGACAUGACGGACUCCUCUCACAUCCCCGUGACCGACAUCGUCAUUUACGGCUACAGGAAGCAGCUCGAGGCCCCCACGCUGGCCGAAGGCUUCUCCGCCAUCCUGGAGAUCCCGUUCCGGAUCCACGUGGCGCCGCAGCUCGAGCGGCUGUACCGCCAGUUCUCAGAGGGCUGAGCCAACGCCCACCCCCACCUGCUCCCCACCCCACAAUAAAUGCUGUUUUUCUUCAUGUUUGACCAGCAUUUUGCUCCCAGCCGGGCUAGGAGCACAGACCCACUGGCCUGGUCUCCCAGGAAGGCACUGCUGGCAACUUUGCCUCAAACUAAACCCUCAGCCCACCUUGGGGACAACUGCAUCUCGCGGACGGGGGUUUCGGCUUCUCCAGCCUGCGGCUGCUGGCGCUCCAGAUAGGCGCCAGGGCAUCCUGGCUGGCAGGGCCCGAGUGGAGUUCGCUGCACGCAGCUGCCAGCUGCAGAGCAAGCCCGGAGUUUUAGCAAGACUGACCCGGGGCCAAGAGCUGGAGCUCCGAUUCCGUGAGAAAUGAGGUGCUCUGCAUGCUGGACUUGAACCCCAGGGCUAUGGCCUGGACCUGCAGCAGCGAGGGGCGCCUGAGAGCCCGGCCAGGCCUGCCGCGUGCCACCAGUGCCAGAGGACUGGAACCGGCCUGGCAUUGCCUUGUGUUUGCUUCCAGCUAAGUGAGGCUUGUGGAACCCGCAGGACAAGGAGGGCAGCCUGGCAACGCCGGGAGUCGGGGGAUGGACCCCAGGAGCAGCCGGCCAGCUGUGGAAAGACUCUGGAAGACACGGCCCAGCAAGCACCUUGCAGACCUGGCAGCUCCGUGAACUGCAGCUUCCCCUCCUGGCUCAGGUUCCGCUGCAGGACCUGCUGCUGAUUGGCGAUGACGCGCCGGAUGCCGUUGACGAAGUUGCUCUGGUCGUGGGGGAUGAGGCCGAUGAAGAUCUUCUUCUCAGAGGAGUACAGAAGCAUGAGCACGCGGAUCUCGCACGAGGCCUUGUAGGAAAAGUGCACGCAGCCGGCCUGGCAGUGUGGAGCACAGUGUCACGGGCGGGCCCUCAGCGCAGACGCUCCUCCCCAUUGUGACACGGGCGCAAACCGCACGGGUCAGCGCCCUGGCAGACGGGCACCACGGAGCACGCUGGGCCUUCCCAGCCGCCGUCCUCAGCCCUGUCAACACUCCCACAGGACACCAGAGGUGCCUGCGCAAGGACCAGUGAGUGGGCUCUACAGCUGAGCCCAGGAGGCUGCCCGACGAGCUCCAGCGAGACUGUGGCCCCCACGCCGGCCAGCCAGUACCCAGGGUCCCCACGGGACCAGCCACGGCCGUGACCGCGACCACGCAGGAAGGCCGCGGCGGGGGAGAAACACCAGGGGCCAAUCUGGCCCCAGGAGGCCGGGCACCAGGGCUCCGUCCACUCUGCGACCCCCGGGCCAGCUGAGGGCGGGGAAGCUGGGCGGCGCUGAUCCACUGCGAUGCCGCCGUCACCGUGGCUUGGGACAUGGCUCAGCGUCACAGCGACCGCAGUGCCGACAGGCACCAAUCGCUCCCUGACGCCUUUCACAGGAUCCUCUCUCCAGGGCCCAGGGGUCACCGUCCCCAUCUUACAGGUGAGCAAACCCAGGCUGAGAGCUCGGGGACUCGCAGGCCCCCAGAGUAAGAAGGGGUUAUGCCUGCCCUCGGGCCUGUGUGCCACUGCAGGGGCCAGUGCUGACAGGCAUCGAGGAGGAAGCCCCUCACAGCACCCCCGAGCCAACAGCCGAGGGAAGCCCGAGUGCGACAAGGGAGCACCGGCCAUGUCCUCGAGGCCUUAGUUUCCCUGAGGGAAUCCUGCUUUUAAACUCUUAAAUAACCAGCCCCUCAAAUGCACAGUGGCACAACCAUGAUGACUUCGGCUGACUUAGAAACAUUACGCUAAUUCGAGGACAGCUAUGACCUGAUACAGCAAACACCCACAAAGCGGACACAGACAGCUGCGGCUUCAGAAGCACGAGGGCCAAGCUCCUCACUUCACAGAUGGAGAGACCGAGGCCCGCAGAGAGGGGAGAACUGGCCAAGGCCCACCAGCAGUUUUUAAACACCAAGCGGCUCUGGCUCUGUCUGUCCCACCAUCAGCCCGGCCCUGGGCCCCACCAGCCCACUCACAAAGCCGUUGUCCAUGAUCCGGCACAGGCUCUUCAGCGUCUCCAGGUCCUUGGUGAAGUGGAACUGCACCAGGCGGGAGUUCCGGAAGAGCGGCACCAGGGUGGUCUGCAGGGAGGCCCCGAGGUGGCUGGGCCAGGCGCCAGGGCCCCGCAGCCCCUCAUGCCCACACGUCAGCAGGCCCCGCCCCGCCUACCGCCACUUGCUGGACAGGCAGCCUCCCCCAGGGCCCCAAGGUCGAGGCAAGCCAAGUGCCCCCUUCCCCACUCACCAGCAGCUGCUGCGGGAUGAGCUGCAUAUACAGCUUCCGCGGCCACUGCUCGGUCCUCCUGCAGGGAUGCGGGGACGAGGGUCAGGAGGCCAGGUCUCACCGAGAUGCCGCCCCCGCCCCCUGCCCGACACUCACAGGAUCUCCCCUUGGUUCACGUAGAUGUGCGACGGCAGCCACCUCUUAGACCGACUGUUAGGCUCAGGCCUGGGCUUUUGGGGGGUAAGAAGAGGGAAGCCGUCAGGAGUGGGAGGAUGCCCUGGUCCUGAGGUCACCCAGGCCCGCCCAGGGCUCACCUCCUGCCACUCCAUGACUCCACUCCAUGCCAGGAACUUGUUGUUGACCAUCUGGACAGGGCCCGCGACGCCACCAGGUCCCACUGCCUGGGGAGGAGACAGGUGGGCUGGUGCCCCAGGAGUUCCCCGAAGAACGCUGCCCAGACCCCUCCAUGCCCCCAGUCCGUCAGUCCCAAGCUUAUCUACCUGCUGCCCCCAGGGCCCAGCCUGGCCCGGCCUCUAGUCUGCCCACAGGCCCAGAGGAUUCCCCAGAGCGGGCCCUGCCCCUCACAGCACACCCCAUGCCCUGGGCCAAGCCCCCGCCAUCAGCCUGGGGGACAUGGCUCACAGGGUCUGCCUCUGAGAACUGGGCGGCUGUAUAACUUGCCACACAAACUGGGACACUUUUGGGUGAAGGGGUCACUGAAGAGCUGGUAAGGUGUGAGCCAGGAUUUGAGGUCACCCUCCUGCCACGAGUGUACCCUCCUGCCACGAGUGUGCCCGCCUGCCCAUCCGCCUCCCUGCUCCCCAUGGGCACCCCUCCUGCCGGGAACCACCCUGUCAGACCCCUCGACCCCCUCACCCUUCAAAGCCUCAGACACGUGUGGCGGCCGGGCCCAAGGGCACACCUGUUUGCGGGUGGUGAUGACCUGCCGGAUGGCAUUGACGAAGCCGCUCUGGUCGUAGGGGAUGAGGCCCAUGAAGAUCUUCUUCUUGGACGAGUACAGGAGCAUGAGCACGCGCACCUCGCAGGGGGAGAUGUGGGGGAAGAGCAUGCAGCCCGCCUGUGGGUGGGGGUGGGGAGGGAACGAUCAUCACGGGACAGAAAUCCUCAAGGUUAACACCAGGACCCUAAAUGACUGCUGUGUAGCCAGAACAUGUCGUUCUGGGAGCCUGUGAACGUGCACCCUGGUGUCCCCCCCCACCGUGACUCUGGGGUCAGGACUGGGGCCCCACGUGCCGGGUGAGGAUCCUGAGAGGGCUCCACCUGCCGCCCACGUGCCCCGAGGUCAUCCCUGUCCUGUGGAGUUUGCUGCUGGGCCCCGCUGACAGAGGCCACCAGGCCCCGGGGGGUUAAGAGCACAAACGCAGGACCAGACUGCCUGGGAGUAACCCUGGCUCUGCUACCUCCUAGCUGUGUGACCUAAGGCAGGUCACCCCUGGACUUCAGUUUCCCCACUUGUAAAACAGCACAACAACGGCGCACAGAGUAAGCGCCACAUAAACACUCAUUACACAAGAUGCUACUGCCUCCUUGGUGGGACUGCGGGAGAGCCUGAGCCUCACAGACGUCCCCACCUGGGGUGUCUAGACAGUGGGGCAUGCGCGUUC
Molecule: RNA transcript, 5743 nt
Organism: Globicephala melas (long-finned pilot whale)
Lineage: Eukaryota; Metazoa; Chordata; Mammalia; Artiodactyla; Delphinidae
Gene: PNKP
Gene name: polynucleotide kinase 3'-phosphatase
Source: RefSeq, a predicted model, not a curated record